UUAAAGCCCCCAAUAAAUUCUAAUGUGAAGUUAAAUUUGUGAAUUUGUGGCCCAAGGGAAGUCAAUGUUUUCAGGAAAGAAUUAGAUCAAAGAACCUGAAAUGAAUUUAGAGCUCUAUUUCUGGCUUCUGUGUGCUGGGUUCAGUCUAGAAUUAUCAUAUAAUCAGCAAAUUAGGCACAAGGGAGAAAAAUAGAGGCCCUCUUUUGCCUGUAGUCAGUCAGUGCGAGCAUAUCUGAUCCAAAACACUUGGAAACACACAGUUUCAUCUAGUGGCCAGUGGGGACUCUCCAACAGAACCUGCAAAACAGGAAGACUUUGGGAUCUGGCUUUUUGAAACACUGAGGUUACAAGGAAGAAAAGGAUUGCAAGUUGUUUGAUUGACACAGAAGAAUUACAAGUGUGAGAGAAUGAGGAGGCAGAGGGCCAAAGGGAAGUAUGUUUCUGCAGCCGCCACAUUACUGCUGCAUUUCAGGAAUGGCAUUUCAGUGGGGAAGAGUUGACUGAUUGGAAAAGACUCUGAUGCUGGGAGGGAUUGGGGGCAGGAGGAGAAGGGGAUGACAGAGGAUGAGACGGCUGGAUGGCAUCACCGACUCGAUGGAGGGAACUUCCCGACCCAUGGAUCGAACCCAGGUCUCCUGCAUUGUAGACAGGUGCUUUGCCGUCUGAGCCACCAACCCAGACCUCUCCCAGGUGCUGUGUUUCAAGGCUCUGAGGACCAAGCAGAGAAGCUGAAGCUAGGCUGACUCUUUGCAGUUGACUUUGGAGUCUUCUACCGCUGGGAGCCUCCUCAAGUACAGACAGAUGCUGUAGUAGUCAUGUAUGGAUGUGAGAAUUGGACCAAAAAGAAAGCUGAGUGCCAGAGAAUUGAUGGCUUUUGAACUGUGGUGUUGGAGAAGACUCUUGAGAGUCCCUUGGACAGCAAGGAGAUCAAACCUAAAGGAAGUCCAUCCUAAAGGAAGCCAGUCCUGAAUAUUCAUUGGAAGGACUGAUGGUGAAGCUGAAGCUCCAAUACUUUGGCCACCUGAUGCGAAGAACUGACUCAUUAGAAAGACCCUGAUGCUGGGAAAGAUUGAAGGUGGGAGGAGAAGGGGAUGACAGAGGAUGAGAUGGUUGGAUGACAUUACCAACUUGAUGGACAUGAGUUUGAGCAAGCUCUGGGAAUUGGUGAUGAACAGGGAAGCCUGGUAUGCUGCAGUCCACGGGGUUGCAAAGAGUCAGACACGACUGAAUGACUGAACUGAACACCUCUUUCACAGAGAUUCACAGCAACCACUGGCAUUUUCCCCCUCAGCUUUAUAGAGAGCUCCAGAUAUGUUUUUAAUGAGCUGCUGCUAAGUCGCUUCAGUCGUGUCCAACUCUGUGCGACCCCAUAGAGGGCAGUCCACCAGGCUCCCCCAUCUCUCGGAUUCUCCAGGCAAGAACACUGGAGUGGGUUGCCAUUUCCUUCUCCAAUGCAUGAAAGUGAAAUGUGAAAGUGAAGCCGCUGAGCGGUGUCCGACUCUUAGUGACCCCAUGGACUGUAGCCCACCAGGCUCCUCCAUCCAUGGGAUUUUCCAGGCAAGAGUACUGGAGUGGGGUGCCAUUGCCUUCUCCAAUGAGCAGCCGUGUUUUAAAACAACUGGACUAUGUGAUGAUCUUUCACUUUUACUGAGUUUGUUUUGCUUUUUCUGUUUAAUAUUAAGUGCUCCCGUUUCAUUUAGUUUAUGUUUUCCAAUUUCUCUGUCUCUUCUUUUUUUUUAAUGUUCUUUGUCAAGCCUUUAUCAAGCAUAGUAGAAAGGCUUUUCUAUACGUAUAUAUAAUAUGUAUAAUAUAUAUGUAUAUUAAAUAUAAAUAAUACAUAUAAUAU
Long non-coding RNA from Bos taurus (domestic cattle), 1846 nucleotides. NCBI's taxonomy places the organism in Eukaryota, Metazoa, Chordata, Mammalia, Artiodactyla, Bovidae. The record is from Ensembl.